AUGGAAAUUACCAAAAGAGAUCAGAGUGGCGCACAACAAUUUCGUUUUGCUAAUGGGCUUGACUUGAUUCAUCUGCUCUCUCUUUACGAGAGGAAGCUGAAUCGGGAUAAAUCAUUAGAAGUAAAAGGAGCCUCAACGAGCACCAACAACCAAUCUGUGACUGCUCUGACGGGCGGCGGCGGCACUGAUAGUGUACGGCUUCAUAUGUCGAUGACUGCUUGCUUUAGCGUUGCAUGGGACGGAGACCUACGACUUCAUCUCUGCCAUGACAACAACCCAUGGAUGACUGCUCCGCGCGGCGGCGGCGACGACGAACGACUGUACCUGGCCUUACGUGUGAAUGGUCUCGCACAAUGGUGGCCACGAUGA
RNAcentral lists this ribosomal RNA (369 nucleotides) under Triticum aestivum (bread wheat). Its description in RNAcentral is "partial small subunit ribosomal RNA". Lineage: Eukaryota; Viridiplantae; Streptophyta; Magnoliopsida; Poales; Poaceae. The record is from RNAcentral.